RNAcentral lists this long non-coding RNA (231 nucleotides) under Elaeis guineensis (African oil palm). Its description in RNAcentral is "long non-coding RNA (EGUI_LNC059140)". The record is from RNAcentral. Lineage: Eukaryota; Viridiplantae; Streptophyta; Magnoliopsida; Arecales; Arecaceae.
UGAUACAGAGUUCUUUGCAGCAUUUGAUGCUGGUAAAGAAGUUGUUUGGUUAUAAAAGUUUAUUAACGAGCUUGGAGAGGCAUCCUCCAUUGAUGGUUCAGUUCUUCUGUAUUAACAGCACUACUGGAGCUAUAGCUCAAGCUGAAGAACUGAUGUUCCAUCUGUGAACCAAACACUUUCUGCAUUGCAAUCAUCUUGUUCGAUAAGAUCAAAAUAAAGUCAAUCUCAGGA